RNAcentral lists this ribosomal RNA (324 nucleotides) under uncultured eukaryote. RNAcentral's name for it is "partial 18S ribosomal RNA". It matches the Rfam family "Eukaryotic small subunit ribosomal RNA", at positions 1470 to 1796 of the family's 1831-position model. The record is from RNAcentral.
CCCUUAGAUGUCCUGGGCUGCACGCGCGCUACACUGAUGUGUCCAGUAAGCUCCUAACCUCUUCCGAAAGGAACGGGUAACCUUUGCAAAGCACAUCGUGAUGGGGAUAGAUUAUUGCAAUUAUUAGUCUUGAACGAGGAAUUCCUAGUAAGCACAAGUCAUCAGCUUGUGUUGAUUACGUCCCUGCCCUUUGUACACACCGCCCGUCGCUCCUACCGAUUGAAUGUUCCGGUGAGCUCUUCGGACUGCGCGGUCUGCAGUUUCUGCGUUCCGUGCGGAAAGUUGCGCAAACCUUAACAUUUAGAGGAAGGAGAAGUCGUAACA